AUCCAGCUGAUGAGUCCCAAAUAGGACGAAAAGCCCGUCCUGGAU
Molecule: non-coding RNA, 45 nt
Filed under: Schistosoma margrebowiei
Lineage: Eukaryota; Metazoa; Platyhelminthes; Trematoda; Strigeidida; Schistosomatidae
Source: RNAcentral